Mytilus californianus (California mussel) is the source of this 309-nucleotide long non-coding RNA. RefSeq lists it as uncharacterized. Lineage: Eukaryota; Metazoa; Mollusca; Bivalvia; Mytilida; Mytilidae. The transcript has 3 exons. The record is from RefSeq and is a predicted model, not a curated record.
GACCAAAAAGCUUUGAGGAUUUGAACUAUACCAGUGGUAUCGGUGAUAUCGACGAAACAAUGGCUGAUUUGUUUUUCCGAAAAUUAGAUAACAUCGUGAAUGCAGUUGUGGCUGUAGUUGUACCACAGCCACCACCACCACCAGAUCCACCGAAUCCAAUGAUCUGAGGAUAUCGUCAUUUGAUCACUGCCUAACAAUGCAAUUUAGAAAAAAAACCUCUUGUUCGGUAUACAUAUUAAGUAAAUGACAAAUAUCAAUUACAGAACUCCUUAAAUGAACAUCAGCAUGACCAAAUAAAACUAAAGUAUU